This 429-nucleotide ribosomal RNA is filed under the name bacterium. RNAcentral's name for it is "partial 16S ribosomal RNA". It matches the Rfam family "Bacterial small subunit ribosomal RNA", at positions 355 to 776 of the family's 1533-position model. The record is from RNAcentral.
UAGGGAAUCUUCCACAAUGGACGCAAGUCUGAUGGAGCAACGCCGCGUGAGUGAAGAAGGUUUUCGGAUCGUAAAGCUCUGUUGUUGGUGAAGAAGGAUAGAGGUAGUAACUGGCCUUUAUUUGACGGUAAUCAACCAGAAAGUCACGGCUAACUACGUGCCAGCAGCCGCGGUAAUACGUAGGUGGCAAGCGUUGUCCGGAUUUAUUGGGCGUAAAGCGAGCGCAGGCGGAAGAAUAAGUCCGAUGUGAAAGCCCUCGGCUUAACCGAGGAACUGCAUCGGAAACUGUUUUUCUUGAGUGCAGAAGAGGAGAGUGGAAUUCCAUGUGUAGCGGUGGAAUGCGUAGAUAUAUGGAAGAACACCAGUGGCGAAGGCGACUCUCUGGUCUGCAACUGACGCUGAGGCUCGAAAGCAUGGGUAGCGAACAGG